AGAGUUUGAUCCUGGCUCAGGACGAACGCUGGCGGCGUGCCUAAUACAUGCAAGUCGAGCGGACCGAACGAGGGCUUGCUCUUGUUUGGUCAGCGGCGGACGGGUGAGUAACACGUGGGCAACCUGCCCGCAAGACCGGGAUAACUCCGGGAAACCGGAGCUAAUACCGGAUAACACCGAAGACCGCAUGGUCUUCGGUUGAAAGGCGGCCUUUGGGCUGUCACUUGCGGAUGGGCCCGCGGCGCAUUAGCUAGUUGGUGAGGUAACGGCUCACCAAGGCGACGAUGCGUAGCCGGCCUGAGAGGGUGACCGGCCACACUGGGACUGAGACACGGCCCAGACUCCUACGGGAGGCAGCAGUAGGGAAUCUUCCGCAAUGGGCGAAAGCCUGACGGAGCCAUGCCGCGUGAGCGAAGAAGGCCUUCGGGUCGUAAAGCUCUGUUGUGAGGGACGAAGGAGCGCCGUUCGAAGAGGGCGGCGCGGUGACGGUACCUCACGAGGAAGCCCCGGCUAACUACGUGCCAGCAGCCGCGGUAAUACGUAGGGGGCGAGCGUUGUCCGGAAUUAUUGGGCGUAAAGCGCGCGCAGGCGGUUCCUUAAGUCUGAUGUGAAAGCCCACGGCUCAACCGUGGAGGGUCAUUGGAAACUGGGGGACUUGAGUGCAGGAGAGGAGAGCGGAAUUCCACGUGUAGCGGUGAAAUGCGUAGAGAUGUGGAGGAACACCAGUGGCGAAGGCGGCUCUCUGGCCUGCAACUGACGCUGAGGCGCGAAAGCGUGGGGAGCAAACAGGAUUAGAUACUCUGGUAGUCAAGGGCG
This 816-nucleotide ribosomal RNA is filed under the name uncultured bacterium. RNAcentral's name for it is "bacterial SSU rRNA". It matches the Rfam family "Bacterial small subunit ribosomal RNA", at positions 8 to 802 of the family's 1533-position model. The record is from RNAcentral.